CAUUUCCUGGGUCCUAGAACGGGCCUAGCUCAGAGCAGGUGCUCACUAUUGAUGGAAUGCUUGUUGAAAGAAUGCAUGAAUCUCAUCUCCUUUUGUGGGUGAAAAACUCAUCCUAUUCUCAUUCCUGAUUAACUUUCUUUCUUUUUCUUUUUUUUUUCAAAAGGGAGCCAUGAUCUGUCACCCAGGUGGAGUGCAAUAGUGUGAUCUUAGCUCCCUGCAACCUCUGCCUUCUGGAUUAAAGAAAUUCUGCUGCCUCAGCCUCCCAUGUAGCUGGGAUUACAGGGGAGUCACUGAGCAGAAGGAAGCGAGUUGCCUGAGAUUCUUCAAAGCCCCAGCCCUUUUGGAGGUUAGAUUGUUAUUCUCAGAGCCUUUAUGAUACAUAAUAAAGACCUAGCUUGGACCAAUAUUAGGAUGAGUUAUCUUGGUAUUAACAUUCUUUUAGGUAGAAGUUGCUGGCCCCAUCUUGCUCACAAUCCUCCAAAGUUUGAAAGUUAUUUUCCAGGAGACUUGGCUUGCACUGAGAGUUGUCCUCCCACCCUCUCUCCAAAUUUCCUCUUGGGGGUAGCCUAACAAGGUACUGUCACAGACCCUUGCCAGCCACGAUGACCCCACCCAGACCAUCCCUCUGCUGUUUCACUCUUUGUUCCUCUCUGGAGCUCUCUGGGGAAGGGU
This 672-nucleotide small RNA is filed under the name Pongo abelii (Sumatran orangutan). RNAcentral describes it as "retained intron". The record is from RNAcentral. Lineage: Eukaryota; Metazoa; Chordata; Mammalia; Primates; Hominidae.